GAUGAACGCUGGCGGCGUGCCUAAUACAUGCAAGUCGAGCGAACGGACGAGAAGCUUGCUUCUCUGAUGUUAGCGGCGGGCGGGUGAGUAACACGUGGAUAACCUACCUAUAAGACUGGGAUAACUUCGGGAAACCGGAGCUAAUACCGGAUAAUAUUUUGAACCGCAUGGUUCAAAAGUGAAAGACGGUCUUGCUGUCACUUAUAGAUGGAUCCGCGCUGCAUUAGCUAGUUGGUAAGGUAACGGCUUACCAAGGCAACGAUGCAUAGCCGACCUGAGAGGGUGAGCGGCCACACUGGAACUGAGACACGGUCCAGACUCCUACGGGAGGCAGCAGUAGGGAAUCUUCCGCAAUGGGCGAAAGCCUGACGGAGCAACGCCGCGUGAGUGAUGAAGGUCUUCGGAUCGUAAAACUCUGUUAUUAGGGAAGAACAUAUGUGUAAGUAACUGUGCACAUCUUGACGGUACCUAAUCAGAAAGCCACGGCUAACUACGUG
This 497-nucleotide ribosomal RNA is filed under the name uncultured bacterium. RNAcentral's name for it is "partial 16S ribosomal RNA". It matches the Rfam family "Bacterial small subunit ribosomal RNA", at positions 28 to 507 of the family's 1533-position model. The record is from RNAcentral.